GACGAACGCUGGCGGCGUGCUUAACACAUGCAAGUCGAACGGAAAGGCCCUGCUUUUGUGGGGUGCUCGAGUGGCGAACGGGUGAGUAACACGUGAGUAACCUGCCCUUGACUUUGGGAUAACUUCAGGAAACUGGGGCUAAUACCGGAUAGGAGCUCCUGCUGCAUGGUGGGGGUUGGAAAGUUUCGGCGGUUGGGGAUGGACUCGCGGCUUAUCAGCUUGUUGGUGGGGUAGUGGCUUACCAAGGCUUUGACGGGUAGCCGGCCUGAGAGGGUGACCGGCCACAUUGGGACUGAGAUACGGCCCAGACGCCUACGGGAGGCAGCAGUGGGGAAUAUUGCACAAUGGGCGGAAGCCUGAUGCAGCAACGUCGCGUGCGGGAUGACGGCCUUCGGGUUGUAAACCGCUUUCGCCUGUGACGAAGCGUGAGUGACGGUAAUGGGUAAAGAAGCACCGGCUAACUACGU
This 467-nucleotide ribosomal RNA is filed under the name uncultured bacterium. Its description in RNAcentral is "partial 16S ribosomal RNA". It matches the Rfam family "Bacterial small subunit ribosomal RNA", at positions 28 to 506 of the family's 1533-position model. The record is from RNAcentral.